Molecule: ribosomal RNA, 457 nt
Filed under: uncultured bacterium
Lineage: Bacteria
Description: partial 16S ribosomal RNA
Rfam family: Bacterial small subunit ribosomal RNA
Source: RNAcentral
GAUGAACGCUGGCGGCGUGCCUAAUACAUGCAAGUCGAGCGGUAAGGCCCUUCGGGGUACACGAGCGGCGGACGGGUGAGUAACGCGUAAGAACAUACCCCAAACUGAGGGAUAACUGCUCGAAAGAGUAGCUAAUACCGCAUGUGCUCUUCGGAGUAAAGCUUAGGUGGUUUGGGAAUGGCUUGCGUCCGAUUAGCUAGUUGGUAAGGUAAUGGCUUACCAAGGCGACGAUCGGUAGCUGUUCUGAGAGGAUGAUCAGCCACACUGGAACUGAGACACGGUCCAGACUCCUACGGGAGGCAGCAGUAGGGAAUUUUCCACAAUGGGGGCAACCCUGAUGGAGCAACGCCGCGUGCAGGAUGAAGGCCUUCGGGUUGUAAACUGCUUUUGUCUGUGACGAAUAUGACGGUAGCAGACGAAUAAGGAUCGGCUAACUACGUGCCAGCAGCCGCCGUAA